UGCACCUGUCCUGGACAUCAGCCGUGCGGCCCAUGGAAACAUCAGAUAUAAGUUGAGUUGGCGUCACAGUGAUUACAGCUGGUCCAGUUAUUUUAUUCUAGUGUAGUCUCUUUGAGUAAGCUGAUUUUCUCUCUGGCACCAAACUUUGUUGGCCAUCUAAUCUAAAGUCACUUUUCACGACAGGGGUGUUUUAGAACCUAUGGUAGUUUUCUGAUGCCAUAAUUUACCCCACUGUAAAUUUUCUAAAAUUUGUACCAAAGAUAUUGAUAAUCUUUCAUAAAAAAAAUAAUUAAAUAUUGUAUAGUCCUCCCAGUAUUACUUUGGUCUUUGACCAAAGAAUGCUGUGACGACUGACUAUAUUUUCCCGAGGGCUGGGGGUGGUGGUGGGGAUGGGGACACCCACAUUGUGGAAGGGUUUAGCGGAGCCGUUCCGCUCAAGCUGUGGAGUCAGCAAACCCUUUGCCGUGGGUCAAACGUGCAAACCCUUGUGCCGUGGGUCAAACGGUGCACUCUUCGGGACACGCUUGACCUCAAGCGUCAAUGAGGCGGGCUGUACGGGGCCCUAUCACGUUACCGUACUAUGCGUGAAAUUGCUGUGACGCAAUUUGCUGAGCAUUGAUCGCACCCGGGCGCGGGCAUACAGCGAAGAAGCAGCGUCCUGGCUUAUGUGUGACGAACCCUCCCUCCCCCUGCCCCCGCGGCUGCGGUUGCUGUGGAGGUAGUGGCGGGCUGCCCCGCUACCGUCGUGACGUGACGGGUGUCUUGGGUGCUGCUGCGGUGGUUGUGGGGUGGUAGCAGCGGCAUCCUGCAGUAAGUCUACUACUGCCUCCACAGCUAACAAGAGCUGCAUCCGAGACGCCCGUGACGUCACUGCUGUAGUGGUGGCAGUCUGCUACUACAUCCACAGUUACCGCAGCGUAGAAUCAGGUGGCCAGCAUCAAGUCCAGGCACAUCUCUUUGGAGAAGAACCACCACCACUUCCUAUUUUACUAAGGCUGUACCAUACAAAUGAAAUAAAUAGCAGCAUUACUGUAA
Frankliniella occidentalis (western flower thrips) is the source of this 1035-nucleotide long non-coding RNA. RefSeq lists it as uncharacterized. The record is from RefSeq and is a predicted model, not a curated record. The transcript is spliced from 2 exons. Lineage: Eukaryota; Metazoa; Arthropoda; Insecta; Thysanoptera; Thripidae.